AUUCUUCUUUGGCUCUCAGCGAAGGCGGUCGCACUUUUCUCCUCUCCUGCCCUUAUCUUCCCUGCUUAUCUUCUUGUGUCCUUGUCUUGUCUGAGUUUUAUUACUUUCCCUGGAACACCCUCUCACAGUCUGUGUCUAAAACCUAAAAGAGAAUCAUGGAUUUGAUCAACUGGUCUCUGAAUGCUAUUGACACCAUUUUCUCAACGAGAAGCCCCGGCUCGGGAGAGCCUGAGUGCCCUGGAGGGACUUUCCCUGCCGGAUACACGAUGGACGGGUGGCAGAAAUGAAGGGUCGUGUGCCUGGCGGGACUGUCGAUCGAGGACGCCGAAGAUAUCUUUUUACUUCCUCCUCCUCUCCUCUCCUUUAGCUUCCCUGCUUAGCUUCUUGUGUCCUUGUCUAGUCUCGUGUUUUUUGUAUUACUUUUCCCUGGAACACUCUCUCACAGUCUGUUCUCUAAAACCUAAAAGAGGAAUUAUGGAUUUGAUCAACUGGUCCCUGAAUGCAAUUGACACCCCUUCUCAACGAGAAGUCUGGGCUUGGGUGAGCCUGACUGCUGAAGAUAUCUACCUAUUCGGAACCAUGAUAACAGGGUUCUUGCUGAUCGGAGCUGGCUUGGCCCUGGCUUAUCGUAGAAUUAAGAGAGCGGAACCGGCUGUUCAAACACCCACAAGGCUGCCCGCUGGAAUUGAAACGAUUGGACGAGGUGCGAGUUCUCAGAAAGGGCUCACUGAAUGCAGCAUGGUUAAGAGCUUGGAGGCGCUUACGACCGCAGUGAAUGCUCAAACUAACAGCUCUGAGCGUAUGUUGGAUUACAUCAGGAAAGAAUCCACCCAAAACAACAACUCAGGGAGGAAGUUGGAUUACAUCUCGGACCAGUUGGCUGCGGUCGUGAGGUCUCAGAAUCUGCUCUGUGAGCAACACAGUGACAAGAUCACGGGAUCGAUGGCUAAUAACAUCAUGGAGAAACUCGAAGCUAUAAAAAGGGAGAUUGAGAGACCAGUGUCGGACUGCUAAAAACAGCUUGAAAUUCUCAAAAGAAAAAUCACCAUCACAAUGCGGAUACCCCUUCGGUGCCAGCUGCGGGCUCAAGGCUAGAGCCGAACAAAAUCUCCCUGAUAACGACUGUGUUGAGUCUGUUCCUCCCCAUCCCAUGCAAGGCCACCUGAGUUGGCUGGAAGACUGUUUACUUAGCCUGGCAGGGCGAAGGACACUGUCUCAGCUGAACUCUGGACACACACACACAAAUACACAUACACUGAUAUGCACACACUGAUCCCCCCUCCCCUUCCAAACGCCUUCAAUGCUUGUGCCCUUCCGGGGAAGAUGGCAGUCGACUGGACCAGCGUAGACAUGCUGCAGGACCGGAAGCGCUAUCUACACCGGCUCUGUCUUACCCUUUACCCGCCCCUGUUGCUUGUCUUGUGUUUCUAUGGUGUAUUGAUAGUCAUGUGCUUUUUGUGCUGAGGUGUUUUUUCUGUUAUCAAACUGAUCUCCCACUAGGAGCUCAGUCUGAGUGGAGUUUUUUUUCUCCUCCUCUCUCCUCAUGUUACAUAUUUUCGUUGUUUUUUUCCUAUCAGCCUACCUUCUGGCAUGUCUCCCCAAUGUCAUGUUUGCGUAAAGUUGGUCAGAAGGUUCCUUUGUAAGUGCGCAUGCGCCAUUAGCGUGCUGCCUGCUGUAACCCUAAUUUCCCUCGGGAUCAAUAAAGUAUAUUGAUUGAUUGAUUGAUAAUGAUAAUACAUAAACAGUGUUUAGGACCAAAUAAUUGAAUAAAGUUUUAUAAUAAGAUGUUUCAAACUGUUUGGAUUGAUAAGACAGGCUGAGCUGACCACAGCUAUGUUUGCUCUAAUAAAAAGCUUUGAUAUGAAAUCACUUCACAGUCACACAUUUCAUGAACACAAAACAAGGAGACAAAAGUCAGGUUUGUUUUUAGUGUUAAUAAAUAUACUUUACUAUACACACCACAGGUCAUGUCAUUGAUUCACAGGGUCAAUCUGUAACAACUACAAACACACACUACUCAACCAGUUUGACCAGGAUGUUGACACAAACACACACACACACAACUCUGUUCCACAAACACGGAUCUGCUGAUGAUCCAGUGAUUUAUAAAAUCAUUAAAUUAAUGAUUUUUAAACCAUUUCAAAGAGAGAGCUUGAUUAGCAAAGUGUGAUACUCUUCAUGUGAGUCACGUUUCCAUAACCACAAAGCUGAUUUUAUAGAUCCUUUAAAAC
Long non-coding RNA from Oreochromis aureus, 2231 nucleotides. NCBI's taxonomy places the organism in Eukaryota, Metazoa, Chordata, Actinopteri, Cichliformes, Cichlidae. The record is from Ensembl.